GAAAUUUCUAUUGCUGAAUGUCAUUUAUUGUUCAUGCUAGAUAGAUAGAUGUAUUUCUGUAAUUUUUGAUUGACAACUAGAUAGAUAGAUGGACUGCAAUUACAGUAUAUAACUGGCUUUAUAAAUUUGAUAAUAGAAAGUCGAGAGAAUAAUUUUCAGUCACAUGUAGGAGGUGUAAUGGUGGUAAGCUAUCUGCUUUCUUUUCUUUCCUGUAUGACUUUGUGAUAACCAUGGUUAUGGUUGGUUCGGAUUGGAGGAUGUCAGCAAAUUCCAACUUGGAUUGUGGGUUAUGCAGUUGAUUGAUUUUUGAAUGAUAAGGGAAAGGUCAAAGUCUCA
This 336-nucleotide long non-coding RNA is filed under the name Panax ginseng (ginseng). RNAcentral describes it as "long non-coding RNA (PGIN_LNC001312)". The record is from RNAcentral. Lineage: Eukaryota; Viridiplantae; Streptophyta; Magnoliopsida; Apiales; Araliaceae.